CGUUAGAGCUUAGCUCAUGCAGUCGGACGGCGCCGGUGCUUCGGCCUGGUGGCGAGCUGGCGAACGGGUGAGUAAUGUAUCGGAACGUGCCCAGUAGCGGGGGAUAACUACGCGAAAGCGUGGCUAAUACCGCAUACGCCCUACGGGGGAAAGCGGGGGACCUUCGGGCCUCGCACUAUUGGAGCGGCCGAUAUCGGAUUAGCUAGUUGGUGGGGUAACGGCCUACCAAGGCGACGAUCCGUAGCUGGUUUGAGAGGACGACCAGCCACACUGGGACUGAGACACGGCCCAGACUCCUACGGGAGGCAGCAGUGGGGAAUUUUGGACAAUGGGGGCAACCCUGAUCCAGCCAUCCCGCGUGUGCGAUGAAGGCCUUCGGGUUGUAAAGCACUUUUGGCAGGAAAGAAACGGCACGGGCUAAUAUCCUGUGCAACUGACGGUACCUGCAGAAUAAGCACCGGCUAACUACGUGCCAGCAGCCGCGGUAAUACGUAGGGUGCAAGCGUUAAUCGGAAUUACUGGGCGUAAAGCGUGCGCAGGCGGUUCGGAAAGAAAGAUGUGAAAUCCCAGGCUUACCUUGGAACUGCAUUUUUACUACCGGGCUAGAGUGUGUCAGAGGGAGUGGAAUUCCGCGUGUAGCAGUGAAAUGCGUAGAUAUGCGGAGGAACACCGAUGGCGAAGGCAGCCUCCUGGGAUAACACUGACGCUCAUGCACGAAAGCGUGGGGGAGCAACAGGAUUAGAUACCCUGGUUAGUCCACGCCCUUAACGAUGUCACUAGCUGUUGGGGCCUUCGGGCCUUGGUUAGCGCAGCUAACGCGUG
This 822-nucleotide ribosomal RNA is filed under the name Bordetella bronchiseptica. RNAcentral describes it as "bacterial SSU rRNA". It matches the Rfam family "Bacterial small subunit ribosomal RNA", at positions 40 to 861 of the family's 1533-position model. Lineage: Bacteria; Pseudomonadati; Pseudomonadota; Betaproteobacteria; Burkholderiales; Alcaligenaceae. The record is from RNAcentral.